RNAcentral lists this small nuclear RNA (312 nucleotides) under Chinchilla lanigera (long-tailed chinchilla). Its description in RNAcentral is "7SK RNA (ENSCLAG00000022128.1)". It matches the Rfam family "7SK RNA". Rfam says of the family: 7SK was discovered as an abundant small nuclear RNA in the mid-70s but a possible function has only recently been suggested. Two independent studies have found that 7SK RNA binds the CDK9/cyclin T complex (known as elongation factor P-TEFb). Lineage: Eukaryota; Metazoa; Chordata; Mammalia; Rodentia; Chinchillidae. The record is from Rfam by way of RNAcentral.
GGAUGUGAGGGCGAUCUGGCUGCGACAUCUGUCACCCCAUUGAUCGCCAGGGUUGAUUCGGCUGAUCUGGCUGGCUAGGUGGGUGUCCCCUUCCUCCCUCAAUGCUCCAUGUGUGUCCCUCCCGAAGCUGCGUGCUCGGUCGAAGAGGACGACCACCCCCGAUAGAGGAGGACCGUUCCUCGGUCAAGGGUAUACGAGUAGCUGCGUUCCCCUGCUAGAACCUUCAAACAAGCUCUCAAAGAGACAUAGAUGCAAGCACAAAAGCCAAAACUAUAAAACAUAGGGGAAACGCUUUGUGCACACAAAGUGGUU